This 72-nucleotide transfer RNA is filed under the name Blyttiomyces helicus. It matches the Rfam family "tRNA". From Rfam's summary of the family: Transfer RNA (tRNA) molecules are approximately 80 nucleotides in length. Their secondary structure includes four short double-helical elements and three loops (D, anti-codon, and T loops). Lineage: Eukaryota; Fungi; Chytridiomycota; Chytridiomycetes. The record is from Rfam by way of RNAcentral.
GGUUGCAUAGUGUAGUGGUCAGCACGCCAGACUUUGAAUCUGGAGACCCGAGUUCAAACCUCGGUGUGACCU